AGAGGGACAUACAGUAGUCAAUAGUGGGGUUACGGACUACCUGGGGGGCAGAGGACAGAGGGACAUACAGUAGUCAAUAGUGGGGUUACGGACUACCUGGGGGGCAGAGGACAGAGGGACAUACAGUAGUCAAUAGUGGGGUUACGGACUACCUGGGGGGCAGAGGACAGAGGGACAUACAGUAGUCAAUAGUGGGGUUAUGGACUACCUGGGGGGCAGAGGACAGAGGGACAUACAGUAGUCAAUAGUGGGGUUUUGGACUACCUGGGGGGCAGAGGGGAUAGGUACAUACAGUAGGGAGCAGAGGGUAUAGGUACAUACAGUAGGGGGCAGAGGGGAUAGGUACAUACAGUAGGGGGCAGAGGGUAUAGGUACAUACAGUAGGGGGCAGAGGGUAUAGGUACAUACAGUAGGGGGCAGAGGGGAUAGGUACAUACAGUAGGGGGCAGAGGGUAUAGGUACAUACAGUAGGGGGCAGAGGGUAUAGGUACAUACAGUAGGGAGCAGAGGGUAUAGGUACAUACAGUAGGGGGCAGAGGGGAUAGGUACAUACAGUAGGGGGCAGAGGGGAUAGGUACAUACAGUAGGGAGCAGAGGGUAUAGGUACAUACAGUAGGGGGCAGAGGGUAUAGGUACAUACAGUAGGGAGCAGAGGGUAUAGGUACAUACAGUAGGGAGCAGAGGGUAUAGGUACAUACAGUAGGGGGCAGAGGGUAUAGGUACAUACAGUAGGGAGCAGAGGGUAUAGGUACAUACAGUAGGGGGCAGAGGGUAUAGGUACAUACAGUAGGGAGCAGAGGGUAUAGGUACAUACAGUAGGGAGCAGAGGGUAUAGGUACAUACAGUAGGGAGCAGAGGGUAUAGGUACAUACAGUAUGGAGCAGAGGGGAUAGGUACAUACAGUAGGGGGCAGAGGGUAUAGGUACAUACAGUAGGGAGCAGAGGGGAUAGGUACAUACAGUAGGGGGCAGAGGGUAUAGGUACAUACAGUAGGGAGCAGAGGGUAUAGGUACAUACAGUAGGGAGCAGAGGGGAUAGGUACAUACAGUAGGGGGCAGAGGGGAUAGGUACAUACAGUAGGGGGCAGAGGGGAUAGGUACAUACAGUAGGGGGCAGAGGGGAUAGGUACAUACAGUAGGGGGCAGAGGGUAUAGGUACAUACAGUAGGGAGCAGAGGGUAUAGGUACAUACAGUAGGGAGCAGAGGGGAUAGGUACAUACAGUAUGGAGCAGAGGGGAUAGGUACAUACAGUAGGGGGCAGAGGGUAUAGGUACAUACAGUAGGGGGCAGAGGGGAUAGGUACAUACAGUAGGGAGCAGAGGGGAUAGGUACAUACAGUAGGGAGCAGAGGGUAUAGGUACAUACAGUAGGGAGCAGAGGGGAUAGGUACAUACAGUAUGGAGCAGAGGGGAUAGGUACAUACAGUAGGGAGCAGAGGGUAUAGUUACAGUAAACAGUGUGUUAGGUGGGCUUCCUUUGGGAUGUAGGGUACAGACAUAAUAGUCAAUAGUGGGUUAUGUAUUCCUACAGGGAAGCCCUACAGGGAAGCCCUACAGGGAAGCCCUUUGCUCCACUAAGAGCUACGUCUGUUGUCAGGUAUCCCUACCAGUGGGAGGCUUGGAACACAGUGAGUAGUGCUAUAUGCUGACUAAAACAGUACUGAGUAACCGUUAGUCACUUUAUCAAACACGUUUUUGCAACUAUUGCUGUAAUAUAGUCCAUUAUAUGUUGCGGUAAGAGAAAUCAUGCUUCUAUCAGGUCAGAUAUUGCUUCCAACUAGGACUGAGACAUUCCCUUAAUAAGCACAAUGUUAAAUGAUUCAUUCUACUACAAACGACCAUGUUAGCAUGCAUAUGGACAGGGUGUUAAUGUGGUUCAGAACAGACAAAUGUGUUCGGCACAGAGAACAGAAGACGAAAAAACAGCAGUCAAGUUUUCACAUUGUUAUUUAGCAACGACAUCAGCCGGUAGAACUCGCACUUCAAAAAAACAAAGCAACAAUCCAUUCUCACAGUCCUUACAGAAAUACUGUUUAGUGUUGUAGUAGUGUUUUGUUGGCCAACAAAAGUAUUUUCACUCUCAAACCAGUCCAUUUAUCCACAAUCAAAGUCGCAAGGCAUAGCUACUGCAGGUUAGAGCGAGCGAUAGAAAGGGCUAGAGAGGGUAAAGAUGAGGUGGGAGAGGCCACACUUGAGAUCGUUUCCCACUCGUUGAGGCAGUUUGGUGUCGGUGCGGCUCGGCGGGCGGAGCGUGCUUGGCAUUGGACAGUGAUUGGUUGA
This is a long non-coding RNA of Oncorhynchus keta (chum salmon), 2279 nucleotides long. RefSeq lists it as uncharacterized. The record is from RefSeq and is a predicted model, not a curated record. The transcript is spliced from 5 exons. Lineage: Eukaryota; Metazoa; Chordata; Actinopteri; Salmoniformes; Salmonidae.